UACGAAAAAGACUAGCGUUGUCCGGAUUUACUGGGCGUAAAGCGCACGUAGGCGGAUUGUUAAGUCAGGGGUGAAAUCCUGGAGCUCAACUCCAGAACUGCCUUUGAUACUGGCAAUCUAGAGUCCGGAAGAGGUGAGUGGAACUCCUAGUGUAGAGGUGGAAUUCGUAGAUAUUAGGAAGAACACCAGUGGCGAAGGCGGCUCACUGGUCCGGUACUGACGCUGAGGUGCGAAAGCGUGGGGAGCAAACAGG
This 253-nucleotide ribosomal RNA is filed under the name uncultured bacterium. RNAcentral describes it as "partial 16S ribosomal RNA". It matches the Rfam family "Bacterial small subunit ribosomal RNA", at positions 524 to 776 of the family's 1533-position model. The record is from RNAcentral.